Anas platyrhynchos (mallard) is the source of this 1467-nucleotide long non-coding RNA. RefSeq lists it as uncharacterized. The record is from RefSeq and is a predicted model, not a curated record. Lineage: Eukaryota; Metazoa; Chordata; Aves; Anseriformes; Anatidae.
CACAUUUAUUUUAAAAAUAAAUUGCACCUAAGCAUCAAUCUAAGUUAAAUUAGAAAAAAAAAAAAUAAUCAGAAGAACCCUUGAUUCUCCUGUACACUUCAAAGAGCCAUUUCUAUCAUCCUGUGUGUACCUGGACAUACAAACAUUUUAAUUAAUAAUUUCCUAUUGAGAUAGGACAUAGCUUUUCUAGAAAUCCAUCAACAUCUAAAGGUGGAGAACUCUACCAAUUCGGUAGGUCAUUUUUACUCUGCAGAUGUCAACAGAGCAAUGGAAUCCCAGUAAAUCACUGAAAAUUAAUGGAUAUGAUGCCAGAAUGAGAUUUUCAAACAAUUAAAAAAAAUGGAAAUAGCAAUUACUGCAGUAAAUGCACCUUCCAUCACACACACACAGCCAGGUGUGCGCAUUUGUAACACUAUAGUGCAGGACAGUUCAUAAAGUAGUGUGACUGAUGGCUUAUUCUUUCCAAUGUUCACAUUUUGAAGAAAUAUUUUGUAAAUAUGAGACAUUUCAAUUGAAAAAAAAAAUAUAUAUCCUUUUGUUUGUUUUUCAGUUCAUGCUUCUAUAACAUUUCCUUACGUCCCUUCCCACUACUAAGACUCUCCAGGCUGCUGGGACUUACAGCAUUACUGCAUAAUGCUGACUAUUUUAAGAAUUCAGUACAAAACAGCUCCGUUUAGAUUUAACUACAAAAGCAAGUGGUUAGAGGGAGCUCAACAUCUGCAGGAGCAGGAACCAAGAGGAAAUUUUUAAUGGUACUUUUUGGUAGAGGGUACAAGGAAGGCAAUGAUCCCAUCCUCUAUUCCCUCAACCUCUAGCUGCCUCUGUCUCUUAGCUCCCAAAGACUAGCUCUCAAAUCAAUAGCUUUCUGUUUGUUUUUAAUGGUAACACAUUAACUGUGCACAAUGGCAAGUUAAUCAUCAAAUCGUUUAUUUUCAGAGGAGUGAGGACUACGGGUAACACUGCUCCAAACCUGCUGCUUUCCUAAAACACACCUCUAACUUACAGCACAAUCACUUCACAUGUAAAUAAGAAGAUUGGGAAUUUGUAGCAACCAAAUUUUGCUGCAGUCUGGAGCAUAAGAUGAUGCACUGCCUGAUUCAGGUAUUUUAUUCAUGUCACACGAAGAAGUGAUCCAAGUGUUUUGUAGUCCAUGCAGGGACGACGAGAACUCUCAUUCUGCCAAAAGAGAGCACCAAAAGAUGCAUUUGCAAAUAGGAAGCCAGCAAGUGUCAACAGCAGGCAAUCACCCAGCCUUGGAAUCUGUUCUGUUCUGGCACAGCGCGAUCACGAUGCGUGACAUGAAGGAUAUUCCCAGCCUGUGCUAAAGGGGGAGCGAGCUGUGAUCAUUAUCAGAAGUAAAAGAAGUCAUGCUGAUUUGCAUCUGCAUUUGCUUUGCAAAGCUUCACGUAAUAGUAGGGUGCCAAGGCAGAAUGGAAACUCUACAUUAAAUUCUACAUGAAAACAUUA